AGUGAACGCUGGCGGUAGGCCUAACACAUGCAAGUCGAACGGCAGCACAGUAAGAGCUUGCUCUUACGGGUGGCGAGUGGCGGACGGGUGAGGAAUACAUCGGAAUCUACUUUUUCGUGGGGGAUAACGUAGGGAAACUUACGCUAAUACCGCAUACGACCUACGGGUGAAAGCAGGGGAUCUUCGGACCUUGCGCGAUUGAAUGAGCCGAUGUCGGAUUAGCUAGUUGGCGGGGUAAAGGCCCACCAAGGCGACGAUCCGUAGCUGGUCUGAGAGGAUGAUCAGCCACGCUGGAACUGAGACACGGUCCAGACUCCUACGGGAGGCAGCAGUGGGGAAUAUUGGACAAGGGGCGCAAGCCUGAUCCAGCCAUACCGCGUGGGUGAAGAAGGCCUGCGGGUUGUAAAGCCCUUUUGUUGGGAAAGAAAAGCAGCAGGUUAAGACCCCGCUGUUCGGACGGUACCCAAAGAAUAAGCACCGGCGAACUUCGA
This 491-nucleotide ribosomal RNA is filed under the name uncultured bacterium. RNAcentral's name for it is "partial 16S ribosomal RNA". It matches the Rfam family "Bacterial small subunit ribosomal RNA", at positions 29 to 506 of the family's 1533-position model. The record is from RNAcentral.